This is a non-coding RNA of Bos taurus (domestic cattle), 47 nucleotides long. The record is from Rfam. Lineage: Eukaryota; Metazoa; Chordata; Mammalia; Artiodactyla; Bovidae.
CCAAAGGCUCUUUUAAGAGCCCCUCAAUUGUCACCAGAAAGGAGCUG